Molecule: long non-coding RNA, 563 nt
Filed under: Drosophila guanche
Lineage: Eukaryota; Metazoa; Arthropoda; Insecta; Diptera; Drosophilidae
Source: RNAcentral
GGAAGACUUGUCUGCCGGCCGUGUGGAAAGCCGCGUUUCGAAGGUGUAUAAAGCAGGGCGCAUCCGUCAGAUGUGCAUCAGUCAUCAGCAAAGACAAAGUGAAGUGAACAAUCCAAUCCAAUUCAAUCUUCUUCAAGUGAACCAACCAAAAAACAAAACCAAACUCAAAAUGCCUUGCCCAUGCGGAUCUGGUAAGUUUGAAGAAAAAACUAUCAAGUCUGAUCCUGUUAACUAUUAGAAUCCUUCUUGCCAUUUACAGGUUGCAAAUGCGCCACUCAGACACCCAAGACAGGCUGCAACUGCGGCACUGACUGCAAGUGCGGCGGAGACAACAAGGCCAAGUGCGGCUGCUCCUCAAAGUGAGAGGAAGGGAAGCCCAUACCCAAACCAGCACUGAUUUCGUUGUAUUAUUUUUUGUACGCAGCAGCCGUAGCCGUGCACUAUACUAGCAAUUUUUUUCUCGCUUUGCAUAAUGUCCAAUAAACUCAAUUGAAACUUGAGCCGUGCCAGUGUUGUGUAUGGUUUUUCAGUUGCGAAAUCAUUUGGUGUGAUCGAAUUUCUUA